GCGGUUAUGGUGGAAUUGGUAGACACGCUAUCUUGAGGGGGUAGUAUGCCUUGCAUGUGCGAGUUCAAGUCUCGCUAACCGCACCA
RNAcentral lists this transfer RNA (86 nucleotides) under Campylobacter novaezeelandiae. RNAcentral describes it as "tRNA-Leu". It matches the Rfam family "tRNA". Rfam says of the family: Transfer RNA (tRNA) molecules are approximately 80 nucleotides in length. Their secondary structure includes four short double-helical elements and three loops (D, anti-codon, and T loops). Further hydrogen bonds mediate the characteristic L-shaped molecular structure. tRNAs have two regions of fundamental functional importance: the anti-codon, which is responsible for specific mRNA codon recognition, and the 3' end, to which the tRNAs corresponding amino acid is attached (by aminoacyl-tRNA synthetases). tRNAs cope with the degeneracy of the genetic code in two manners: having more than one tRNA (with a specific anti-codon) for a particular amino acid; and 'wobble' base-pairing, i.e. permitting non-standard base-pairing at the 3rd anti-codon position. The record is from RNAcentral. Lineage: Bacteria; Pseudomonadati; Campylobacterota; Epsilonproteobacteria; Campylobacterales; Campylobacteraceae.